RNAcentral lists this long non-coding RNA (2616 nucleotides) under Salmo salar (Atlantic salmon). RNAcentral's name for it is "lncRNA (ENSSSAG00000116392.1)". Lineage: Eukaryota; Metazoa; Chordata; Actinopteri; Salmoniformes; Salmonidae. The record is from RNAcentral.
AAAAUAACCCCCCUAGUCCUGGAGAGCAUAACACUACAACUAGCAAAAUAACCCCCCCUAGUCCUAGAGAGCAUAACACUACAACUAGCAACACAACUAACCCUAUUACCCCUAAAAAUCCUCCCCAGACCAGUAGCACGACAGUCUUACGUAAAACCUCUCCAUUAACAACUACCUCGGGCCAAUCUAACCCCCCAGUUGCCCCUACUGAGAGAGCAACAAGCAAGUAUCAGGCUGCUACGGGCCAAACGGUCAGUCAUAAGAACACAGAGAAUACGGAGGGAGUCCCAGGAUGGGGGAUCGCUCUAUUGGUACUGGCUGCCCUGAUCUUGUUAAUCCUCCUUAUUCUCCUAAUACUGCUGCUAGUGUGGUUGUGCUGUAGGCAGAGAUAUGGAAGCUUCAGCCCAUAUGACCAGAUCAACCACGGGGCAGACAUCCAAAUGUACUCCACACACAGCCGCUUCAACGUGCCCAAUGGCAAGCCUAAUGACGAAAUGGGAGAAUCAUUGAAAAACCAAACAGGGAUGUAUGUGGUGAACGAGUACUGACACACAGAAGCUCCAGUCAAUUGGGUAAGAAGACCAUCUGAAAUGGCCUUAUGAAGUAAUAUGCAUGGGAGCAAUGACAAUUCUGUACAAAUGGUUCAAUUAUCUCUGAAGUAUCUGAAUGAAGAUCAUGGAGUUGGCUCACUGAUUGUAAUUUCAACCUGUAUUUAUUCAAAUCAAAUCACAUUUAUUUAUAAAGCCCUUUUUACAUCAGCCGAAGUCACAAAGUGCUAUACAGAAACCCAGCCUAAAACCCCAAACAGCAAGCAAUGCAGAUGUCCUAAUGUUAUUUUAUUCCUAAUGCUUUUACCAGUGGAGGUUGCUGACGGGAGGACGGCUCAUAGUAAUAGCUGGAAUGGAGUCAAUGUAAUGGUAUCAAACACAUCAAACACCUGGUUUCCAUGUGGUUGUUACCAUUCCAUUCUAUUAUUCUGUAUGUUAAUCUGAGACACUCCAUUUAGUAUAUGUUACGCCUCCCCGACCAACCUCCCUACUUUAGAUUCUGUCUAAAGUAACCAGGCCAUUGAAAGGUAUCAUAUGUCUUGAUGUGCUCAGAAAUAUGUAAAGUAUGUUUUGAAUGGCUCUGAGGCCAGGCUGGCCAUUUUGGCUUCAUUGUGGCAAUACUUUGAGUUGUAUUUUCAGUCUUUACUGAAGGCAAGCUUAACCUUGGUAAAAAAGAAAGCUGAUCCUAGAUCAGUAAAUGGGGUCAACAUAUGUAUCCUGCAAUUAACAUUUAAGAAGAAUGAGUAGGGGUGCAAUACCCAAUCAGGUACAGUUAACAAGAAUUUCAUUGUUUUCAAAGACUAUAAAUCAAACCUUUUGACUUGGGCUGAGAGAUCCAGAUCUAAUUCCCUACCUCUGGAUAAGACAUGUUUUGAGAUAGGAUACUAGCAUGCCAAAAAAGUUAACUAUUCCACAAACCCAACCGAGUGAGUAAAACACCAAUAUUAUGUAUAUUUGACAAUCUGAUUAAAUAAAUCCACCAUUAUUAAUCAAAUCUGUGAGAUGAAACUAUCUGUAAACAUUUGAAGUGAUCGUGUAUUGGCGCUUUAAACUUUGCAUAAAAAGAAAUCUAAAUCAUUUUUAGAUUAAAUAUUUGUAAAUAAUAAAGUUUGAGUUAGAUUUUUAUGGGCAGAAGUGGUUUGGAUGUAUUCAUGGUUUGUAAAAGAGUUGGAUGAUUCUGUUCAUCAGGAGAACUGAAGAUAGGGCAGAACAGACACACCUCUGUUUGUAUCUAAGCCUGCCCUCAUCCCCCUGGCGUUCUUUUUCUCUUUUAUUCUUUGUGUGAAAAGAACAAGUAAAUAGCUAUCUAGAUAACGUGCUUUACAGUUGGGCUGGGUGUGGCGGUGUGAUAAAGAAUAAGGUAUUGUAUUAAAUUACGAAAUGAGUCCGACUCCAUAAAUUUACGAAUUACUCAAACUUUGUCCAUUAUAUGCAAGUCAGUGUGUAUUAAAAAGGCAACACCUCUUUCUGCUAUUUGGGCCAAUGGGCUAGGUUUAACAUAAAUAUUUGACAUAUGGAUGUCCUGGUAACAGAUACAUAACAUUCAUGAUAACCAGCUACCAAGUGACAUUGAGAAUUGAAGACUUACAUUUUUCAAGGUGUGCAGUACAAAUCGCAUUCUUAUCCAAAAUGCAUAAGGUGUAUAUGUCCAUUCCUCUCCAUAUCCCCUACCUUUGUAGUCUGUAUUAGAUAUGUCUUUCUACAGUUGCAUUGUGUAUUUUUCCAGGAAAACAUCACAGUGGUUGCUGUUACUAAUACUGUUCAGCAGGAAGAUAACCAAUCAGAGAGAAACUUUCAACCAAAACAAAUAAGAUCAGUUCUUAUUGUUUCUGACACACUGAGGUCAUUGUUUGAUUAUGAUAUGAUUUAUCGCUUGGCUGGGCUUAAAAAUCUAUUAACCAAAAAGACUAAAAGGGCGAAGUCAGAAUGCAAUCUUAAGUCAUUUGCUAACGGUGUAACCAAACAUUAUUCAAGCAUGUAGAUGUACAUAGUGAUAGAACCAUACACCCGUGCAAGGUUUCUUUAGCCAACAGUCAACCUAUUCAAAUAAACUCAGCAAAAAAAGAAA